Molecule: long non-coding RNA, 469 nt
Organism: Ornithorhynchus anatinus (platypus)
Lineage: Eukaryota; Metazoa; Chordata; Mammalia; Monotremata; Ornithorhynchidae
Exons: 2
Source: RefSeq, a predicted model, not a curated record
GAAGAUCAACUUGAAUGCUCCUUUCUCCCCCAGGAAUAAAAAUCACUGUGAGAAAUACAAAUGUGAAAUAAAGUGGGAAAGUGGGAAAACCCUCGGCUUACGUAUUUUACUGAAAGCCUCAUCUAUUUGGAAAAUAAAAUCCAGAAGCUUCUCCUGACAUGUACUAGAUACAAGUGCACCACUUGAAGAUCUAGAGGAAAGGGCCCAUGUGGAAAAGGUUUAUCUCAACACCAAUUGUAUCUUCUGUCUAGGCUUGGACCUGAAGAUUUCAGAUUUUUUUAAAAGCAAAGUGGGCUGCAAUCACACCUGUUUGGAGAAGUAAGAAGAGAGAAAAAAGUAAAGGGAAGGGGCAUGCUGAGAAGAAAGAAAUGAAUAGAGAGAAGAAAGAAAGACUAGCAAUUACUAAACUCUGUUCAUUUCUGCUCACAGCCUAAAAAAAAUGUUUUGUUCAAUAAAAAAGCUCCUCAUA